Molecule: long non-coding RNA, 4913 nt
Organism: Anolis carolinensis (green anole)
Lineage: Eukaryota; Metazoa; Chordata; Lepidosauria; Squamata; Anolidae
Exons: 2
Source: RefSeq, a predicted model, not a curated record
UUGUAAUCUUUUACAUUUACAAGCAACCUUUGAAUUACAGUCUUAGGAAAAAAGUGGGAUAUACCUGAUGAUGAUGAUGAUGAUGAUGUAAAUGGGUCAUAUGUGUGGAUCACAAUUGAACUAAUGUAUUUCUGAGGGAGCUCCCGAUGGUGCAACGGGUUAAACUGCUGAGCUGCUGAACUUGCUGACCAAAAGGUCGGCAGUUUGAAUCCGGGGAGCAGAGUGAGCUCCCACUGUUAGUCCCAGCUUCUGCCAAUCUAGCAGUUCAAAAACAUGCAAAUGUGAGUAGGUAACAGUGCUCUAUGUAGUCAUGCCAGUUACAUGACCUUGGAGGUGUCUACAGACAAUGCUGGCUCUUCAGCUUAGAAAUGGAGAUGAGCACCAAUCCCCAGAAUCAGACACAACUAGGGGAAAACCUUUAUCUUUACCUAUCUCUGAGGGGAAAUGAUAAGAAGGGGAUUUCAUUCGUCAAAGCACUCCCAUUUGUUUCCCCUCGAAGAUAGGCCAGUUGUCAACAUCUGAAUUGCCUCUCACUCUGUCCCUUCCCCACCAGUAAACAACAGUAUUGGUGCCUGCAAAGGACUAGAUAUUAGCCUAUUGCCCAUUCAUAAAAAGGGAGGUGGACACAAAUCUGUCUGGGCAUAGCAUUAUAUUCUACUUGUCUGAUGCAGGAUCUCAACCUAAAUGAUGUUACAAUGCAAAACAAGUGAGAAAUGAAGUUGUUUUCAGUCACUGAACAGAAAGCAGAGUGUGUUUACUGUCACAGUUGCCACUGAACCUAGUAGCACUGGGGUGGACAACUGGCAUGGAUUUCAUGCCAACUAUCUGUCCAAGUAGGCUCUGUCAGCUAUGCAGAAUGCAAAAGAAAAAAAAUGAGGGCAGCCAGAUCUUCCAUUUUGUGAAAACUUGGUAUUUUUUUUAUACCAAAUAGGACAUAAGAACAUGUGCUACUUAUUUAACAAAGUUAAUUGUCUCUUCUGGUGGCUUUCUGAACAAGAAAUUUGGGUUGAAAAAGGUGCCCAGAAGGUGCUGGAUGGGAUGGGGGUGCAAAACCAACUAUGAUGGGGUGGGGCAGGGACACCUUUUACUAUUAUCCUGCUACUUCUCAUUAGGACUUGCAUCCUGUAUAGGCCUUAUGUACAGCAUCCCUGUGUGGGAUUUUUUUAGUUCCUGCUCUACUGCUGGGACUUACAAAAAACUCACUGUUAUCCUCCAGGGAGAUAAUGUCUUCCCAGACUCUGACCUGUGGCUGCCAGGAAUGAUGAAGAAGGAGGUUCACAAAUUGUGACACUUUCCCUCUAUUCAUUUCUUGUUGUGUGCUUUCAAGUAAUUUCCGACUUAUGGAGAUCCCAUCAUGGGGUUCUCUUGGCAAGAUUUGGUGGGGGAGUUGCCUUUGCCUCCCUCUGAGAUUGAAAGUGUAUGACUUGUCCAGUAGAUUUUCAUGGCUGAACAGUGAUUUGAACCUUGGACUUUGGGGGCCCUGGUCAAACAUUCAGACCAUACAGGCUCUUCACUCAGCACACAGAUUGCUAUAAAAAUAGUUUCCUGAAGGAACAAAGGAUGGAAAAUAUUGUCAUAAACCAUUUGAUUAAUUUAGGUCCUGACUUUUUUCUUCAAAGAGCUUUGGUUUUAACAGUCUCUACUCUCUCCUGCAUACUGCAUAUGGAUAUGGUGAUAUUUGAUUGAACAGAUGAGCAUUUAAAAAUGGCUUAAAUUGGUUUUAUAUAUUUUUCCAUGGCCAAGUUUUCAAAGCAAUAUGAUGAAGGGAGGGGAAUCCUUCUCAGAAGAGAAACAUAUUCAACUUCUUUCUGCAGCAGGUUGCUAAAGAACAAAUGGUGACAGCUGUUGGAAGGAGAUCAGAAGUCUGGAAUGUUAGAAGCUGAUCCAGCUGGAGCGGAUUAGCGAAAUGUGUGGAGGUGAAGCAGUCAAAGGCCAUUAAACAACCACAACUCCCUACAUUCAUUCGAAUUUCCUGCUGGGAGAAGGAGUUCCAGAAGCUUUACCUUGUCUGGAGGAAAGUGAGUAAGCAGCCACAAUGAUUUCCCAGGAUUUAGGAUGACAGGUUGACAGGGUAAUGUUUCCCCGCUGUUGCUCCUUGGGGGAAUUUUUUCCCAGAGUAUUCAGAGUUAACUGAGCAGACCUAAAGGUCAACAGGAGUGGGUUUCCUGUUUAGGGUGCCUCAUUCAGUGUUAUUUUGACUAGAUCAUGCAUCUACUUACAGGAGAAGGAAAUGGAGAACGGCAGGAAAUGCAUCCAAAAAUAAAUACCAAACCCCCAGAUAAUGAGCAUGUAAGAAAAAGAAGCUUCUUGAUGCUGAUAAAAAUAAAUUGUGGGACAGCAUUUCAGAGCUAGCAUGGUGGGGUGGUUUGAGUGCUGGACAAUGGGUAAAUCUACAAUGGAGAAUCAAUGCAGUUUGACAUCAGUUUAACUGCUAUGGAUCAAUGCUAUAGAAUUUUAGUUUGGUGAGCACUAGAACUAUUUGACAGAGAAGGCUGAAAACCUUGUAAAAUGACCCCGUCCCAAUGAUUACAUAGCAUUGAGCCAUGGUAGUUUAAGUGGUGUCAGAUUGCAUUAAAUCUACAGUGUAGAUGCACCCUAGGAUGCCAAGAUGGAAUCUAUACAAACUAAAUAAUUUGUUCUUACCUCAGUCCCAGUCACAUUCCUCUUCUUACUAUAUUCCUGUAAUGUAACAGCAAACCAUUUAUAUUAAGAGAAAAUUACAAACAAGAGGGGUCAAGAAUGCAGAGCAUAAAAAACAAGCCAAGAGACACAGAUAAUAUUUGGGGAAGUGUUAUCCUCCUUGCCCAAACACCAGACGGCUUGGGUUUCCCUGUGGGGAUCUUUCAUAAUUCCCAAAAGAGGGGCAACCAGACUACAUCCACACUGUGCCUACUAUUCAGUCAUUCUUGCAACAGAGCAGAAUGAGUCAUUUACUCUCAAACUGGUUACUGAAUCAUAUCAAGAAAGAGCGACAUUAAAGGAUUAUUUCCAGUAUAAAAAUAAUUCCCAAUGAUUCUACAGCAGAACAACAUUGGGAGAGCCAUGGUGGAAUUAAUUCACCACGGCAAUGGCAUAACUGUAUCUUCUGAUGAUCACAUAAAUAUAGAAACCAUACAGCUUUCCAGACACUCUUGGAUUGCAAGGGAUGCAAAUCUAGAUGGCUGCAUGAUUUCGUCUCUAAGGAUCAGGAAGUAGAACACCCCUUUAAGCAACACAUACAUUGUUGUGGGUUUGCUUUAUUUUUAGAACUGUUAUUCCAUGUGCACCACUUUCCUCACAGUAAAAAAAAUAAACAAAUUGACUUUUUGCUUGGACCCUGGAUCAGUUUUGGUUCCUUUACAUCCAUUUAUGAAUCUGCCUACAGGUUCUUCCACAUAGCCCUAUAACCCAGAAUAUCAAGGCAGAAUAACCCACAAUAUCUGCUUUGAACUGGGUUAUCGGAGUCCACACUGCCAUAUACCCCAGUUUAAAGCAGAUAAUGUGGGAUGUGUGAAAGGGGUCUAUGUUCAGUAACUACGACAACCCAGAGGCUCAUAGAGUUAAAGGGACCACAAGGGCCAGCUAAUCCAGUGCACUGUCAUGUAGGCAUAGAUGGCUAUAAUGCACACCCUGAGAGAUGGCCAAACACCAGUGCAAGCCCCAGUUUAGUGAUACACACACUAGGGAAAGAGCUAUUCCUACUGUUUCAUCAAAUUAAUAUAUUUCCAGAACUUUCCUAAACUCAGAUUCUCUUCAUAUUGUUAAGAUUGCCUGAUAGAUAGUGCCAUUUACAUAUUCAAAAACUCUGGAUGUGUUUAGUUUCCCUCUCAUUUCCCAAAGUGCACAUUUAUCCGUUUUUAAAUGUCUCAUCUCUCCUCACUAGUUGCACUACUGUACUGCACCAAGGGGCCCAUAUCUCUGUAUUUUCUUCCUGUUGUGGAGAAUUGUUCUGUAUAACAAUACUACUGAAAAUGCUGGCUCAUGGACCAGUGCUGAUCCAUGAACAUACCUGCUAUAUCCUUGAAUACUGCUUUUGAUCAUUUGGAUCCCUGUGUUUUCUGAAGGGAAUUGUGCAGGCAUGCUAUUACACUACAAUAAUAAUAAUAAUAACAACAAUAAUAAUAAUAAUAAUAGGUUUUUUCUUGGUUUUUUUAUGGCUCACGAACGGGACCCUGAAGAAGGAGACAGAAGGCCUGAUCCUUGCAGCCCAGGAGCAAGCCAUCAGAACAAAUGCAAUUAAGGCCAAGAUCGAAAAAUCAGCUGAUGACCCAAAAUGCAGACUGUGCAAGGAAACCGAUGAAACCAUUGAUCAUCUCCUCAGCUGCUGUAAGAAAAUCACACAGACAGACUACAAACAGAGGCACAACUACGUGGCCCAAAUGAUUCAUUGGAACUUAUGCCUCAAGUACCACCUCCCAGCAGCAAAGAACUGGUGGGAUCACAAACCUGCAAAAGUAUUGGAAAAUGAGCACGCAAAGAUACUGUGGGACUUCCGAAUCCAGACUGACAAAGUUCUGGAACACAAUACACCAGACAUCACAGUUGUGGGGGAAAAAAGGUUUGGAUCAUUGAUGUCGCCAUCCCAGGUGACAGUCGCAUUGACGAAAAACAACAGGAAAAACUCAGCCGCUAUCAGGACCUCAAGAUUGAAUUUCAGAGAGACUGGCAGAAACCAGUGCAGGUGGUCCCGGUGUGAUGGGCACACUGGGUGCCGUGCCAAAAGAUCUCAGCCAGCAUCUGGAAACCAUAGAAAUUGACAAAAUUACGAUCUGCCAACUGCAAAAGGCCACCCUGCUGGGAUCUGUGCACAUCAUCCAAAAAUAUAUCACACAGUCAUAGACACUUGGGAAGUGUUCGACUUGUGAUUUUGUGAUAUGAAAUCCAGCAUAUCUAUCUUGUUUGCUGUGUCAUAAUAAAAUAAUAGGUUUUAUUCA